GACGAACGCUGGCGGCGUGCCUAACACAUGCAAGUCGAACGGAGAAACCCUGCGGGGUCGAUCAGUGGGGUACGGGCGGGUGAGACGUGAGCAAGUUGCUCCCGGCUCUGGGACAAUCACUUGAAACGGUGGCUAAUAACGGAUACGACCCGCCUCGGCAGCACGGGUGGGUGGAAAGGUGUUCGGCGGGGGCUGGGCGCCUGGUCUAUCAGCUCGUUGGGGAGGUGCAAGCUCACCAAGGGGCCGACGGCUAGCCCGCCUGGGAGGUCGAGCGGCGACACGGCGACUGAGACAGGGCGCAGACGCGUACGGGAGGCAGCGGUGGAGAGUAUGGCACAGUGGGCGCGCGCCUGAUGCAGCGACGCCGCGUGCGUGAUGACGGCUUUCGGGUUGUAAACCUCUUUCAGCUCCGAAGAAGCGAUAGUGACGGUAGCAGCAGAAGAAGCACCGGCUAACUACGUG
RNAcentral lists this ribosomal RNA (462 nucleotides) under uncultured bacterium. Its description in RNAcentral is "partial 16S ribosomal RNA". It matches the Rfam family "Bacterial small subunit ribosomal RNA", at positions 28 to 507 of the family's 1533-position model. The record is from RNAcentral.